Molecule: ribosomal RNA, 231 nt
Filed under: uncultured Lactobacillus sp.
Lineage: Bacteria; Bacillati; Bacillota; Bacilli; Lactobacillales; Lactobacillaceae
Description: partial 16S ribosomal RNA
Rfam family: Bacterial small subunit ribosomal RNA
Source: RNAcentral
CCAACGAGAUCGGGAUAACACUGGAAACAGAUGCUAAUACCGGAUAACAACAGAUGAUGCCUAUCAACUGUUUAAAAGAUGGUUCUGCUAUCACUCUUGGAUGGACCUGCGGUGCAUUAGCUAGUUGGUAGGGUAACGGCCUACCAAGGCGAUGAUGCAUAGCCGAGUUGAGAGACUGAUCGGCCACAUUGGGACUGAGACACGGCCCAAACUCCUACGGGAGGCAGCAGA